This 449-nucleotide ribosomal RNA is filed under the name uncultured Sutterellaceae bacterium. RNAcentral's name for it is "bacterial SSU rRNA". It matches the Rfam family "Bacterial small subunit ribosomal RNA", at positions 355 to 794 of the family's 1533-position model. The record is from RNAcentral. Lineage: Bacteria; Pseudomonadati; Pseudomonadota; Betaproteobacteria; Burkholderiales; Sutterellaceae.
UGGGGAAUUUUGGACAAUGGGGGGAAACCCUGAUCCAGCCAUGCCGCGUGCGGGAUGAAGGCCUUCGGGUUGUAAACCGCUUUUGUCAGGGACGAAAAGGGGCCUGUGAACAACGGGUUCCGCUGACGGUAUCUGAAGAAUAAGCACCGGCUAACUACGUGCCAGCAGCCGCGGUAAUACGUAGGGUGCGAGCGUUAAUCGGAAUUACUGGGCGUAAAGGGUGCGCAGGCGGCUGCGCAAGACAGAUGUGAAAUCCCCGGGCUUAACCUGGGAACUGCAUUUGUGACUGCACAGCUAGAGUUUUGUCAGAGGAGGGUGGAAUUCCGCGUGUAGCAGUGAAAUGCGUAGAUAUGCGGAAGAACACCAAUGGCGAAGGCAGCCCUCUGGGACAUGACUGACGCUCAUGCACGAAAGCGUGGGGAGCAAACGGGAUUAGAUACCCUGGUAGU